This 253-nucleotide ribosomal RNA is filed under the name uncultured bacterium. RNAcentral's name for it is "partial 16S ribosomal RNA". It matches the Rfam family "Bacterial small subunit ribosomal RNA", at positions 524 to 776 of the family's 1533-position model. The record is from RNAcentral.
UACGAAGGGGGCUAGCGUUGCUCGGAUUGACUGGGCGUAAAGGGCGCGUAGGCGGCUUGUACAGUCAGACGUGAAAUUCCUGGGCUCAACCUGGGGGCUGCGUUUGAUACGUAUGGGCUUGAGUUCGGAAGAGGGUCGUGGAAUUCCCAGUGUAGAGGUGAAAUUCGUAGAUAUUGGGAAGAACACCGGUGGCGAAGGCGGCGACCUGGUCCGAUACUGACGCUGAGGUGCGAAAGCGUGGGGAGCAAACAGG